This 433-nucleotide ribosomal RNA is filed under the name uncultured bacterium. Its description in RNAcentral is "partial 16S ribosomal RNA". It matches the Rfam family "Bacterial small subunit ribosomal RNA", at positions 29 to 507 of the family's 1533-position model. The record is from RNAcentral.
AACGAACGCUGGCGGCAUGCCUAACACAUGCAAGUCGAACGAGACCUUCGGGUCUAGUGGCGCACGGGUGCGUAACGCGUGGGAACCUGCCCUUAGGCUCGGAAUAACUCCCCGAAAGGGGUGCUAAUACCGGAUAAUGUCUUCGGACCAAAGAUUUAUCGCCUUUGGAUGGGCCCGCGUUGGAUUAGCUAGUUGGUAGGGUAAAAGCCUACCAAGGCGACGAUCCAUAGCUGGUCUGAGAGGAUGAUCAGCCACACUGGGACUGAGACACGGCCCAGACUCCUACGGGAGGCAGCAGUGGGGAAUAGUGGACAAUGGGCGAAAGCCUGAUCCAGCAAUGCCGCGUGAGUGAUGAAGGCCUUAGGGUUGUAAAGCUCUUUUACCCGGGAUGAUAAUGACAGUACCGGGAGAAUAAGCUCCGGCUAACUCCGUG